AAUAGAUACCCCGGUAGUCCUUACUGUAAACGAUGUAUACUUGGUGUAACCGGACUCAACCCUGGUUGUGCCGUAGCUAACGUGAUAAGUAUACCGCCUGAGGAGUACAGUCGCAAGGCUGAAACUCAAAAGAAUUGACGGGGACCCGCACAAGCAGUGGAGCAUGUGGUUUAAUUCGAUGCAACGCGAAGAACCUUACCCAGGCUUGACAUGCACAGGAAUAUAGCAGAGAUGCUAUAGCCCUUCGGGGUCUGUGCACAGGUGCUGCAUGGCUGUCGUCAGCUCGUGCCGUGAGGUGUUUGGUUAAGUCCAGCAACGAGCGCAACCCUUAUCAUUAGUUGCCAACACGUAAUGGUGGGAACUCUAGUGAGACUGCCUAGGUUAACUAGGAGGAAGGUGAGGAUGACGUCAAGUCCGCAUGGCCCUUAUGUCUGGGGCUACACACGUGCUACAAUGGUCGGUACAGAAGGCAGCAAAACCGCAAGGUGAAGCAAAUCCCAAAAAGCCGGCCCCAGUUC
RNAcentral lists this ribosomal RNA (518 nucleotides) under uncultured bacterium. RNAcentral's name for it is "bacterial SSU rRNA". It matches the Rfam family "Bacterial small subunit ribosomal RNA", at positions 777 to 1294 of the family's 1533-position model. The record is from RNAcentral.